Molecule: ribosomal RNA, 515 nt
Filed under: Teleogryllus oceanicus (black field cricket)
Lineage: Eukaryota; Metazoa; Arthropoda; Insecta; Orthoptera; Gryllidae
Description: partial 16S ribosomal RNA
Rfam family: Bacterial large subunit ribosomal RNA
Source: RNAcentral
CUUCUUGAUUUAAUAUGAAGUCGUACCUGCCCAAUGAGGUUUUUAAUGGCCGCGGUAUAUUGACCGUGCAAAGGUAGCAUAAUCAUUAGUCUUUUAAUUGAAGGCUGGAAUGAAUGGUUUGACGAAAUAAUUACUGUCUCGUGAUGAUGACUUGAAUUUUACUUUUGAGUCAAAAGGCUCAAAUGAUAAUAGGGGACGAGAAGACCCUAUAGAUCUUGAUAAUAUGCAUUAAAUUUUUUGUUUAGAUUGUAUUUGAUUAUUUUUAAUGUAUUGUAUUUGGUUGGGGUGACAAGGGAAUAUGAUAACUUCUUAUUAUUUAACUAUGAUGAUUGGUUAAUUGAACCUAUAUUAUGGAAUAAAGAUGAAGAUACCUUAGGGAUAACAGCGUAAUGUUAUUGGAGAGUUCUUAUUGAUAAUAAAGAUUGCGACCUCGAUGUUGGAUUAAGAAAAUUAUUAGGUGCAGAAGCUUAAUUUAUUGGUCUGUUCGACCAUUAAAUUCUUACGUGAUCUGAGUU